RNAcentral lists this transfer RNA (72 nucleotides) under Ictidomys tridecemlineatus (thirteen-lined ground squirrel). RNAcentral describes it as "Spermophilus tridecemlineatus (thirteen-lined ground squirrel) tRNA". It matches the Rfam family "tRNA". From Rfam's summary of the family: Transfer RNA (tRNA) molecules are approximately 80 nucleotides in length. Their secondary structure includes four short double-helical elements and three loops (D, anti-codon, and T loops). The record is from Rfam by way of RNAcentral. Lineage: Eukaryota; Metazoa; Chordata; Mammalia; Rodentia; Sciuridae.
GGGGGUGUAGCUCAAUAAUAGAGCAUUUGCUUACCAUACACGAGGCUCUGGGUUUGAUCCCCAGCAUUACCA